GGGCGAAUGGCGGAACGGUAGACGCGCUGGCUUCAGGUGCCAGUGAGCGCAAGCUCGUGGAGGUUCAAAUCCUCUUUCGCCCA
Molecule: transfer RNA, 83 nt
Filed under: Actinomycetota bacterium
Lineage: Bacteria; Bacillati; Actinomycetota
Also listed under: 1 other name
Description: tRNA-Leu
Rfam family: tRNA
About the family: Transfer RNA (tRNA) molecules are approximately 80 nucleotides in length. Their secondary structure includes four short double-helical elements and three loops (D, anti-codon, and T loops). Further hydrogen bonds mediate the characteristic L-shaped molecular structure. tRNAs have two regions of fundamental functional importance: the anti-codon, which is responsible for specific mRNA codon recognition, and the 3' end, to which the tRNAs corresponding amino acid is attached (by aminoacyl-tRNA synthetases). tRNAs cope with the degeneracy of the genetic code in two manners: having more than one tRNA (with a specific anti-codon) for a particular amino acid; and 'wobble' base-pairing, i.e. permitting non-standard base-pairing at the 3rd anti-codon position.
Source: RNAcentral